AUGCUGGCUCCUUAAACAACUGAGCCGCCAGGGAACUCCCUGGUCUGAAUUUUGAAACAGAUGUAUCUGGCAAGAAGAGUCCCUGGACCAUGGCUCAGAGGACGUCCUCCUCCAGCUCUGAGCCAGGCUCUCUCGGGCAGAUGGGCAGACCUCUCAGAUUCCUUUGCUUUCCAAUCUUAAAGAGCAGGGGCAGAACGGUGGGACUUUCUCUGCCUACUUGUCCUUUUCAUGGCACAAGUGGCCAUGCCAAGCCUGGUGCUGGUUCUCCUAAGAAUCACGGGGCCAGGGCCCAGAAUUGCCACCAAAGCCUUCCUUUGACAUUUGGGCUCACCUCUGCACUGGGCCUGUAAUUCUGGGAGCUGCCACCAGGGGGACGGUGUCACUUUUGUCUCGGGACAUUGGUCUGAGUUACUGAGAAACGCAGGAUCCACUCCCGGCCUAAGCACCAGUUUUGUCUCCAACCACCUGCCUUUGAAGCCCGGAGGCCUGAAUUCCAGCAUCCUUCACCAAGCGAGGUGUGGGCGUGUGCGGUGGCCCACGACCCAGAACAACAGACGCAGAGAGGCCACACCAGCAUACGGAAAUUCCUGGACCAGUGACUGAAUCCAAGGAGCCAUAGCCACGGUCACGCCAGACCUUUAACCCACUGCACUAGGCCAGGGAUGGAACCCGCACCUCUGCAUCGACCCGAGCUGCUGCAGUCGGAUCCUUAACCCACUGCACCACAGUGGGAACUCCAGAGCUACUUAUUGCUUAACCCAAGACGGACCCUCCUCUGUACGUGGUGUGUGUCCUCCGUGCCUGGAUGCUGGGAUUCGCGUCUUGAAAGGGGUUUUUGGUGAAAGCACGGCUACCAGACAACCUGGUAUUUGCAAAACCACCAGGAGCAAAACCCAUUGAAAUACAGCGUAAGGAAAUACACAUAAUUCACAAAUGAUGUUGAUCACUUUCAUCUUAGACUUCCUAACUGUCCUCAAUAGAAGACAGACGCCAAGGAGAUUUAACUCAGAUGUUAAUAGUGCAGAGAAUGCCCCGUUACCAGGGAAUGCUGCUUCGGUGCUGCAUGAAAAUUUUCCUGCCGCGAUGCCAUUGAUUUUGGAACGGGAGGGACAGAAUUUUAUCCAACGAAUAUUCACUAAGCAUCUGCGAUGCGGGAGGCCCCGGAUGAGGUACCAGAGGCCACCAGAUUCGGUCCCUGCUUUCAAGUCCUGGCCAGUCUGGAAGGGGAGAGGAGCAAGACCCAGAGAGUUGGGUGGCAGCGGGCUUGGCGGAGACGCCGAGGAGCAGGUGACCUUUGUCCUGGGCUUCGAAGAGAGACGAGUUUCUCCAUAAGGGACAUGGUACAUAAAAUACAAAAAUAGAACAUUUUAGAAAGGCUUUUUGGCCUCUCUGGAAAGAUUUACAUGGAGAAAGAAUGUUCUCUUCCUCCUUUUAUUAAUUUAAUAGCAGCAGCCAGAAUCCACCUCUCUGAGCCCUGGUUCCCAGCACACCUUCCCUGUAGCUUCUAGGUCUUUCUAUUCCUAGUCUUCUUCUUCUUCUUUUUUUUCUGUAUUCCCCAGGGCCAGGGAUUGAAUCUGAG
Sus scrofa (pig) is the source of this 1579-nucleotide non-coding RNA. NCBI's taxonomy places the organism in Eukaryota, Metazoa, Chordata, Mammalia, Artiodactyla, Suidae. The record is from RefSeq and is a predicted model, not a curated record.